This 90-nucleotide ribosomal RNA is filed under the name uncultured bacterium. RNAcentral describes it as "partial 16S ribosomal RNA". The record is from RNAcentral.
CUUGUACACACCGCCCGUCACAUCAUGAAAGCCGUUUGUACCCGAAGUCACCCCUUAAAAGGUGCCGAAGGUAUGGAUGGUGAUUGGAUG